UUCUGUCUACUACCUCA
This 17-nucleotide microRNA is filed under the name Corchorus capsularis. Its description in RNAcentral is "sRNA CCACVL1_20165". The record is from RNAcentral. Lineage: Eukaryota; Viridiplantae; Streptophyta; Magnoliopsida; Malvales; Malvaceae.